CGGAGGAUCCAAGCGUUAUCCGGAAUCAUUGGGUUUAAAGGGUCCGUAGGCGGUUUAGUAAGCCAGUGGUGAAAGCCCAUCGCUCAACGGUGGAACGGCCAUUGAUACUGCUAGACUUGAAUUAUUAGGAAGUAACUAGAAUAUGUAGUGUAGCGGUGAAAUGCUUAGAGAUUACAUGGAAUACCAAUUGCGAAGGCAGGUUACUACUAAUGGAUUGACGCUGAUGGACGAAAGCGUGGGUAGCGAACAGGAUUAGAUACCCUGGUAGUCCACGCCGUAAACGAUGGAUACUAGCUGUUGGGAGCGAUCUCAGUGGCUAAGCGAAAGUGAUAAGUAUCCCACCUGGGGAGUACGUUCGCAAGAAUG
RNAcentral lists this ribosomal RNA (366 nucleotides) under uncultured organism. RNAcentral's name for it is "bacterial SSU rRNA". It matches the Rfam family "Bacterial small subunit ribosomal RNA", at positions 526 to 896 of the family's 1533-position model. The record is from RNAcentral.